GACAGAGGGUGCAAACGUUGUUCGCAAUUACUGGGCGUAAAGCGCGUGUAGGCGGCCCUGCAAGUCGGGUGUGAAAUCCCACGGCUCAACCGUGGAAGUGCACUCGAAACUGCAGGGCUAGAGUCCUGGAGAGGAAGGUGGAAUGCUUGGUGUAGAGGUGAAAUUCGUAGAUAUCAAGCGGAACACCGGUGGCGAAGGCGGCCUUCUGGACAGUGACUGACGCUGAGACGCGAAAGCGUGGGGAGCAAACAGG
RNAcentral lists this ribosomal RNA (253 nucleotides) under uncultured bacterium. RNAcentral's name for it is "partial 16S ribosomal RNA". It matches the Rfam family "Bacterial small subunit ribosomal RNA", at positions 524 to 776 of the family's 1533-position model. The record is from RNAcentral.